Molecule: long non-coding RNA, 3108 nt
Filed under: Olea europaea subsp. europaea
Lineage: Eukaryota; Viridiplantae; Streptophyta; Magnoliopsida; Lamiales; Oleaceae
Source: RNAcentral
ACCAAGGAAAGGAGUUUAAUAUGACGGAUUUUUUUCCAAAAGGGGAGUGCUCUACCAGCAAAGUUGUGUGUACACACUACAACAAAACUCGGUAGUAGAAAGAAAACACUUGCACUGGUUGAACGUAGCAAGGACCUUGAUUUUCAAGCAAGGCUACCUUUAAAAUUUUGAGGAAAGUGCUUCCUAACUGCUGCUUAUCUCAUAAAUAGGACACCCUCACCAAAUUUAAAAAAUUAAAAGUCCUUACCAGCUUCUCUUUGGUAAAACACCUAGCUAUUCUCACUUAAGAACAUUAAGAUGUUUAUGCUAUACAUCAAAACUUGAUCCCCAGAAAAAUAAGUUUAAUCCUAGAGCUCGAAAAAUGUGUGUUCAUCGGAUAUUCAAAUGGAAUAAAAGGUUACGAAGUCUUUGACAUGAAAACAAGAGAAAGCAUAACUAGUGGAGAUGUGAUCCUUUAUGAAGACACAUUUCAUUUUUAGUAAAAUCACACCUUAUCUUCUUUACUACUUACACCAAAAAUCACUACUCUAGAUGAUGUCCCAGUUAUACCAAAUCCCAUCUCAGAGAGUUUUAAUCAAUCUUCACAAACAAGUGAUAAUUUUGGUUUUUUAUAGGAAACAACACUUGAAAUUGAUAACCAUAAUCAUAAGGAAUCUCUUACUUCAUCAGAAGCUGUUGAAUAAUCUUUUUUCCCACUUCUUGAACAACCUUCUCCCCAAAACCCGUAAAUCCACUAGAAUCAGAAAUAGACCUGAAUACAAAGAUUUUCAUUGCAGGAUGGCAACUUCCUUGGCAACUUCAGGCACUCUUCCUUCUGAUGUAACAACUCUUAGAGGUAACAAUUAUUCUCUUGCUUCGAUUCUUAGUUACUCUAAAUUCUCACCCACAGACUUGAAAUAUACUCUAUCCAUCACCCUUGAGCCAGAGCCUCGCACCUUUGAAGAAGCCCAAAAAUUCUUACAUUGGAGAAGUGCCAUGAGUGCUAAAAUUCAAGCUCUUGAAGCCAAUGAGACAUGGGAACUGACCAACUUGCCUCUAGGGAAGAAAACAGUUAGGUUGCAAAUGGGUCUACAAAACCAAAUAUAAGGCAGAUGGCAGCACUGAACCACACAAGGCUGGAUUGGUGGUGAAAGGCUACAUUCAAUGAGAAAGAGAAGAUUAUUUUGAAACCUUCUCCCCUAUUGCCAAGAUGCCAACUGUGAGAUGCCUUCUGUCUAUUGCUGCAUGUAAAAAGUGGUCUUUUCAUCUUCUGGAUGUUAAUAAUGCUUUCCUUUAUGGAGAAUUGGAUAAGGAAGUAAAUAUGACUCUGCCUCCUGGUUAUGGUAGAGAGUGGGAACAACGAGUAUGUAGGCUUAAGAGGUCUCUUUAUGGCUUGAAGCAAGCUUCUUGUCAAUGGAAUCAAAAUCUCACUUCUGUUAUUACCAAGAUUGGUUUUAUCCAAUCUAAAGCAGAUUAUUCACUCUUUACUAAGAAAACUGAUUCCUCUUUUACUGUAAUGCUUGUAAACAUUGAUGAUAUGGUGAUUGGAGGAGAUAAUGAAGAGGAAAUGCAGAAACUGAAGCAAUAUUUGGCAGGCCAUUUUAAGCUAAAGGAUCUUGAAAAGUUGAAAUAUUUUCUAGGCAUAGAAAUUGCCCUAUCCAAGGAAGAGAUUUUCAUUUGUCAAAGGAUAUAUACACUGAAAAUUUUACAAGACUGUGGACUUCUUGGUGCUAAAUCUGUCCAAUUUUCCAUGGAACAUAAUUUGAAACUUAAUUGGAAAGAAGAGCAAGCCUUGCUUGAUCCUAGAUAGCAUAGAAGACUAAUAGAAAGGCUGCUUUAUCUAACAAUAACUAGGCCCUGAUAUAGCAUACUCGGUACAAGUGCUAAGUCAAUAUCUUAGUAAGCCGAAAGAUGUGCAUUGGAAGGCAGGCAUUAAGGUAGUAAGAUAUUUGAAGAUAUCUCUAUCACAAGGGUUGAUUUAUCCAGUAAAAGGUAAGCUAUAGCUGACUGGCUUUUGUGAUGCAGAUUGGGGCAUUUGUCCAGAAACUAGAAGGUCCAUUACCGGGUUUUGCAUUUUCUUUAGAGAUGGUCUGAUAUCAUCGAGGUCAAAGAAACAAAGGAUUGUGUCUAGGUCCUCUGUUGAGGAGGAAUAUCGAUCAAUGGCUGCAACAACUUGCAAGUUGGUAAGGUUUAAAAGUUAAUUGAAUGAUUUUGGCAUAUCUAUUGAGAAACCAAUACAAUUAUUCUGUGAUAAUCAAGCAGCUGUUCAUAUUGCUUCAAAUUCAGGUUAUUAUGAGAGAACAAAACACAUAGAGAUUGAUUGUCACAUUGUGAGGGAGAAAAUAAAGGUCGGUUCGAUAAAGACAUUUCACAUAUGAACAAAUUUACAAGCUGCAGAUAUGAUGACGAAGGCAAUUGGUUCAAAGAAGUUCCAAUAUCUCUCAGGCAAGAUGGGGAUUUAUUCAAUUGCAUCUCCAUCUUGAGGGGAAGUAAUGAGAUGAAUAUUUGAAUUAAAUAGAGCAGAAACCAUAGAUCAUUGGAACAAGAGAAGCUACUUGCAAGUUUUGAAAUUUUCUGUUGACACCUUACAAAGAAAAACACAGGUCUGUUAUUGAAGAAGUAGAGUGGCUAUUUUUACCAAAAAUAGAAUCUACUUGAGUGAAAGAAAGUAGCUGUGUUGUUGGUCCUAUACAAGGACAGAUCCAGAAUUAGAUUCAAAAUUGGACUACAAAAUCUCAAAUCGGACUACUAUGCGGAAAAAAAAUUUACACAUAAAAAAUUGGUUUUUUACCAAAAAAAUAAAAAAUACCUUAAAAAUAAUGUUCUUGGGCCUGAGUUGGGGGGGGGGCUACAGCCCAGCCCAGCCCCCCAAAAAUCCGUCUCUGGUCCUAUAGCUGUUAUGUUUAGGCUGUAUUCAUAAAUAAUUCCUAAUUUUCAGGAUCUGAUUUUGUGUAUACGUAGAGCUCUUUCCUUGUAUAUUUUUCAAGUAAAACAAAAAUGAAAGCAAUUCAAUUGACUGGUUCACUGUGUUGGUAACCAAUCUCCUCUCCUUUCUUUUGUUUAAUGACAUUUAUUCUCCAUGUCAGUAGUGAGGUUGAAUGCAUCCAUUAUAUUACAUUGUCACCUGUC